Molecule: ribosomal RNA, 910 nt
Filed under: Cladosporium cladosporioides
Lineage: Eukaryota; Fungi; Ascomycota; Dothideomycetes; Cladosporiales; Cladosporiaceae
Also listed under: 1 other name
Description: eukaryotic LSU rRNA
Rfam family: Eukaryotic large subunit ribosomal RNA
Source: RNAcentral
UUGACCUCGGAUCAGGUAGGGAUACCCGCUGAACUUAAGCAUAUCAAUAAGCGGAGGAAAAGAAACCAACAGGGAUUGCUCUAGUAACGGCGAGUGAAGCAGCAAUAGCUCAAAUUUGAAAUCUGGCGUCUUCGACGUCCGAGUUGUAAUUUGUAGAGGAUGCUUCUGAGUAACCACCGACCUAAGUUCCUUGGAACAGGACGUCAUAGAGGGUGAGAAUCCCGUAUGCGGUCGGAAAGGUGCUCUAUACGUAGCUCCUUCGACGAGUCGAGUUGUUUGGGAAUGCAGCUCUAAAUGGGAGGUAAAUUUCUUCUAAAGCUAAAUAUUGGCCAGAGACCGAUAGCGCACAAGUAGAGUGAUCGAAAGAUGAAAAGCACUUUGGAAAGAGAGUUAAAAAGCACGUGAAAUUGUUAAAAGGGAAGGGAUUGCAACCAGACUUGCUCGCGGUGUUCCGCCGGUCUUCUGACCGGUCUACUCGCCGCGUUGCAGGCCAGCAUCGUCUGGUGCCGCUGGAUAAGACUUGAGGAAUGUAGCUCCCUCGGGAGUGUUAUAGCCUCUUGUGAUGCAGCGAGCGCCGGGCGAGGUCCGCGCUUCGGCUAGGAUGCUGGCGUAAUGGUCGUAAUCCGCCCGUCUUGAAACACGGACCAAGGAGUCUAACAUCUAUGCGAGUGUUCGGGUGUCAAACCCCUACGCGUAAUGAAAGUGAACGGAGGUGAGAACCGCAAGGUGCAUCAUCGACCGAUCCUGAUGUCUUCGGAUGGAUUUGAGUAAGAGCAUAGCUGUUGGGACCCGAAAGAUGGUGAACUAUGCCUGAAUAGGGUGAAGCCAGAGGAAACUCUGGUGGAGGCUCGCAGCGGUUCUGACGUGCAAAUCGAUCGUCAAAUUUGGGUAUAGGGGCGAAAGACUAAUC